Molecule: long non-coding RNA, 705 nt
Organism: Gopherus evgoodei (Goodes thornscrub tortoise)
Lineage: Eukaryota; Metazoa; Chordata; Testudines; Testudinidae
Exons: 2
Source: RefSeq, a predicted model, not a curated record
CUGACUAGAAAAGACCUGUACAGUAAAAAAUAUAAUGUAUAAAAAUCAAAAGUCAUAAAUAGACUAGCAGGGUAAUAUCACCAGCCUCGGGAUCAGGAAAAGAAUAUUGAGUGCACAGUGUUGAAGGACACCAAAGAGGCAACCAAAUCCAAUAAAGUAGGAAUAGUGUAUGAUUCCAGCUACCCAUAUAGAGAAGCAAUUUCUUAUUACCUUAAAAAGUUUGAUUCCUGGAACAUAACAGACUAUCCUUGACUAAGUCUUAAAUUGCAUGCAGGAGUUAACCCAAGUUGUAACCACAGUUUAGCCACUAAGUAAUUAUAGUGCGGUCACUAUUAAGUGUAACAUCCUUGGGGAGGCAUUGUACCAAAAAUUAGCACAGUGACAAAACUCCAAAAGGGUUUCUAAAAAGUGAUGACACUAGUCAAAAAGAUUCAAAAGGUCAAAAUAAACUAAGCUAAAAUCCUUAGAUUGAUCAACCAUAACAGUCAAAGAGCAUACAUUCCCCGCCUCUCAAAAAGGAAUCAGGAAUGAAGAAACCCACCAUGCCAUGAUUGAAUAGCAAGGUUCAAGAGGUUUUUCAUGCCAAAUGAGUAUUCUUUACUAAACAGAAAUCCAACCUCAGUGAAACCAACAGAAAGGAGUACACUAUGGCAGGUAAAAGUAGAGAGGAAAUCUGAAGUGGUAAAAGGAAAUUUGAAGAGCUAA